RNAcentral lists this ribosomal RNA (497 nucleotides) under uncultured bacterium. RNAcentral describes it as "partial 16S ribosomal RNA". It matches the Rfam family "Bacterial small subunit ribosomal RNA", at positions 28 to 507 of the family's 1533-position model. The record is from RNAcentral.
GAUGAACGCUGGCGGCGUGCCUAAUACAUGCAAGUCGAGCGAACGGACGAGAAGCUUGCUUCUCUGAUGUUAGCGGCGGACGGGUGAGUAACACGUGGAUAACCUACCUAUAAGACUGGGAUAACUUCGGGAAACCGGAGCUAAUACCGGAUGAUAUUUUGAACCGCAUGGUUCAAAAGUGAAAGACGGUCUUGCUGCCACUUAUAGAUGGAUCCGCGCUGCAUUAGCUAGUUGGUAAGGUAACGGCUUACCAAGGCAACGAUGCAUAGCCGACCUGAGAGGGUGAUCGGCCACACUGGAAUUGAGACACGGUCCAGACUCCUACGGGAGGCAGCAGUAGGGAAUCUUCCGCAAUGGGCGAAAGCCUGACGGAGCAACGCCGCGUGAGUGAUGAAGGUCUUCGGAUCGUAAAACUCUGUUAUUAGGGAAGAACAUAUGUGUAAGUAACUGUGCACAUCUUGACGGUACCUAAUCAGAAAGCCACGGCUAACUACGUG